GAUGAACGCUGGCGGCGUGCCUAAUACAUGCAAGUCGAGCGAACGGACGAGAAGCUUGCUUCUCUGAUGUUAGCGGCGGACGGGUGAGUAACACGUGGAUAACCUACCUAUAAGACUGGGAUAACUUCGGGAAACCGUAGCUAAUACCGGAUAAUAUUUUGAACCGCAUGGUUCAAAAGUGAAAGACGGUCUUGCUGUCACUUAUAGAUGGAUCCGCGCUGCAUUAGCUAGUUGGUAGGGUAACGGCUUACCAAGGCAACGAUGCAUAGCCGACCUGAGAGGGUGAUCGGCCACACUGGAACUGAGACACGGUCCAGACUCCUACGGGAGGCAGCAGUAGGGAAUCUUCCGCAAAGGGCGAAAGCCUGACGGAGCAACGCCGCGUGAGUGAUGAAGGUCUUCGGAUCGUAAAACUCUGUUAUUAGGGAAGAACAUAUGUGUAAGUAACUGUGCACAUCUUGACGGUACCUAAUCAGAAAGCCACGGCUAACUACGUG
RNAcentral lists this ribosomal RNA (497 nucleotides) under uncultured bacterium. Its description in RNAcentral is "partial 16S ribosomal RNA". It matches the Rfam family "Bacterial small subunit ribosomal RNA", at positions 28 to 507 of the family's 1533-position model. The record is from RNAcentral.